GGGCCCGCACAAGCGGUGGAGCAUGUGGUUUAAUUCGAUGAUACGCGAGGAACCUUACCAGGGCUUAAAUGUAGUGGGACAGGUCUAGAGAUAGACCCUUCUUCGGACUACUUACAAGGUGCUGCAUGGUUGUCGUCAGCUCGUGCCGUGAGGUGUCAGGUUAAGUCCUAUAACGAGCGCAACCCCUAUCGUUAGUUGCCAGCAAUUAAAGUUGGGUACUCUAGCGAGACUGCCGGUGCAAACCGUGAGGAAGGUGGGGAUGACGUCAAAUCAUCACGGCCCUUACGUCCUGGCUACACACGUGCUACAAUGGCCGGUACAGAGAGCAGCCAAACUAAGGAGAGGUCUG
Molecule: ribosomal RNA, 349 nt
Filed under: uncultured bacterium
Lineage: Bacteria
Description: bacterial SSU rRNA
Rfam family: Bacterial small subunit ribosomal RNA
Source: RNAcentral